AUUACAGUUUUGGAGUCCACCAUCUUAUAGUCCAAGAAUCGGCCGACGAUAAAUUUCUUAGCCCCGGCAUCCUCAAUCUUAUAUUUCCGGUCCAAAGACUCCCACAACUGCUUAGCAGUUUUCAUGGUGCUAUACACGUUGUAUAGCGAAUCUGCCAAACUGUUCAUGACGUAAUUCCGGCAUAAGAAGUCCGAGUGGUUC
RNAcentral lists this long non-coding RNA (201 nucleotides) under Olea europaea (common olive). Its description in RNAcentral is "long non-coding RNA (OEUR_LNC006277)". The record is from RNAcentral. Lineage: Eukaryota; Viridiplantae; Streptophyta; Magnoliopsida; Lamiales; Oleaceae.